RNAcentral lists this long non-coding RNA (1652 nucleotides) under Nicotiana tabacum (common tobacco). RNAcentral describes it as "long non-coding RNA (NTAB_LNC002937)". Lineage: Eukaryota; Viridiplantae; Streptophyta; Magnoliopsida; Solanales; Solanaceae. The record is from RNAcentral.
UGUGGACUGUAUCUUAAGUUCACUAUGGGUGAUUGGCACGUGUAUUUGCUUGAACAUGGUAUUUCUAUAUUCGAAUCUAUGGCAUUUUACAUCAACAUCUAAAAGCCAUCACCAAGAGCUCUCUCAGUAACUUUUAUCCUUGCAAGGCGAUUGGACUUCAUCCCAACUGAUUGGUAAAAGCAUGGCAGGUAAGUCACCGACUUUCAAAAGCUGAAGGUUAAUAAUUCAGAGAUGAGUGCAUUUCAUGGUGCAGUUUUUGAGUUUCAAAAUCAUCCAUAUCAUUAGAUAAGUCCAUUUCUUAUUGAAGAUUUAUUAGUCUAUCAUACAAUUUAUUGAUAGUCUCAUAAUAAAAGGACGAGUAAAAGUUACUAGACGAUCUUUUUCUCCGUUAUAUUUAUUUUGAAUAUUUUUCUCUAGCGUCCUUUAUUAAGACAAAAAUGUGCCCUUUAGUGAACCUUACACCUAUAAUAUUAGAAUAACAGUUCAACUAGAAGAUAAAUUUUGGCAUUCAGUCAUAGUAGUUAUGGGUCUUUUUGUGUGUUUCAUACGCAGACUUUAGAAUCUUAUCCCCUUAAAAUGAUUUUUUUCUCCAAGUAUACUUCUUGAAGUAAUUACAUGCGCUUUGCAAUUUGUGGCUUCAUUUCAGUGAUCUUUCAGAAUAGAACAAAGAACGUAUGGAAGAGUAAUUCUUUUGUAGCUUAUGAUGAUUCUAUUUUCUUUCUGUAUCAGGUUUUGGCAUUGCCACUAUGCAUAUACCCUUUUCUUGAGGGUCUUGCAUAUUGCAGCUUUACGAUUGCUUUGUUGGUCCUUCAAUGAAUAGAGUAUAAAUCUUUCUAAUGUUUGAUAAUGAGACAUUUGUGCAUAUUUACUUUAUAUACUCAUCUCACUGGUUUAUAUCUAUAUAUGGAUAGAUCAGUGCGCUUGCAUUAAGUUUCAUGCCUUCUCUUUGCAUGACUUAGCAAAUGUAUCCCAACUUCAUGAUUCGGCAAAUUGUUGACCACUUUUGCAUAUUUGGAGCUGGUAAGUGAAGAAGUAUGGUGUCGAAAGUUUUCGAUUACUUUAAACAUCCACACUUAUAUGAUAAUUGUUUAUAUGUUAGGGUCGACAUCAAGAAUGUGUACUGAACAAUAUAAUACUAACUUGCACAUCGUUGCGGAGAGAAAUUUGUUUUAUCUAAGCUUAGAGUGAUUUUAGUCACUUAUUUUCCUUAACCCUUUUACAUUCUGCAAAAUCUUAAAUACUCAGAUCGCAAUGCUACAACAUUGAGUUGUCAGAACAAUACUGAGCUGCUGAACAAUUAUUCUACACACAAAGAUAUGUAUACUUUGUGGAGCACAAGAUUGGAACAUGAAUAAUCAGAACUGGAAGCUGUUUGUUCGUGAUCAUAUCAGUCAUUUAAUUUAAGGACUUGAGUCUUGUACCUUUGCAUUUUACAAUAGUAGCUAGGACUAAAAUUAUGCCUUCUUUCUGGUUUUGAACUUAUGGAGCUUAGAAAGAGGUUUGGAUGUUCACUAUUCUAGGAAAGUUCUACUAUUGUGAGACAUGCCGUUACCAAAUUAACUUCAAAAACUGGACAAAAUGUGUAAAUGGAAAUGGGUAAGUUAAUUUGCUAGGUCGUAAAGCAAAGACCUCAACAAUUUACGACUUGCACA